UAACAAGGAUUCCCUUAGUAACGGCGAGUGAACCGGGAAAAGCUCAAAUUUGUAAUCUGGCUGUCUUCGAUAGUCCGAGUUGUAAUCUAUAGACGUGUUUUCCGUGCUGGACCGUAUCUAAGUCCCUUGGAACAGGGUAUCAAAGAGGGUGACAAUCCCGUGCUUGAUACGACCACCAGUGCUCUGUGAUACACGCUCUACGAGUCGAGUUGUUUGGGAAUGCAGCUCAAAAUGGGUGGUAAAUUCCAUCUAAAGCUAAAUAUUGGCGAGAGACCGAUAGCGAACAAGUACCGUGAGGGAAAGAUGAAAAGCACUUUGGAAAGAGAGUUAAACAGUACGUGAAAUUGUUGAAAGGGAAACGAUUGAAGUCAGUCGUGUUCUUUGGAUUCAGCUAGUUCUUCUAGUCUACUUCCUUUGAACGGGUCAACAUCAGUUUUGUCCGGUGGAUAAAGAUAGUAGGAAUGUAGCUCCCUCGGGAGUGUUAUAGACUAUUAUUGCAUGCACUGGGUGAGACUGAGGACUGCAGCUCGCCUUUUGGCCGGCCUUC
Molecule: ribosomal RNA, 547 nt
Filed under: Cutaneotrichosporon moniliiforme
Lineage: Eukaryota; Fungi; Basidiomycota; Tremellomycetes; Trichosporonales; Trichosporonaceae
Description: eukaryotic LSU rRNA
Rfam family: Eukaryotic large subunit ribosomal RNA
Source: RNAcentral